This 511-nucleotide ribosomal RNA is filed under the name Clitocybe amarescens. Its description in RNAcentral is "LSU rRNA". It matches the Rfam family "Eukaryotic large subunit ribosomal RNA", at positions 156 to 650 of the family's 3401-position model. The record is from RNAcentral. Lineage: Eukaryota; Fungi; Basidiomycota; Agaricomycetes; Agaricales; Clitocybaceae.
AAGUGCUAUCCGCCCUGGACCGUGUACAAGUCUCCUGGAACGGAGCGUCAUAGAGGGUGAGAAUCCCGUCUUUGACACGGACUACCAGGGCUUUGUGAUGCGCUCUCAAAGAGUCUAGUUGUUUGGGAAUGCAGCUCUAAAUGGGUGGUAAAUUCCAUCUAAAGCUAAAUAUUGGCGAGAGACCGAUAGCGAACAAGUACCGUGAGGGAAAGAUGAAAAGAACUUUGGAAAGAGAGUUAAAAAGUACGUGAAAUUGUUGAAAGGGAAACGCUUGAAGUCAGUCGCGUUGGCCGGGGAUCAACCUUGCUCUUUUGCUUGGCGUACUUUCCGGUUGACGGGUCAGCAUCAAUUUUGACCGGUGGAUAAAGGUCAGGGGAAUGUGGCAUCUUCGGAUGUGUUAUAGCCCUUGGUCGCAUACAUCGGUUGGGAUUGAGGAACUCAGCACGCCGCAAGGCCGGGUCUUUGACCACGUACGUGCUUAAGAUGCUGGCAUAAUGGCUUUAAUCGACCC